GGCUGGUCCAAGUGCAGUGGUGUUUACAACUAAUUGAUCACAACCAGUUACAGAUUGUUUUGCUUCUUCUCCAUUUGCACUGCUUCACUUGACUAGCCAAAA
Unclassified non-coding RNA from Prolemur simus (greater bamboo lemur), 102 nucleotides. It matches the Rfam family "Y RNA". From Rfam's summary of the family: Y RNAs are components of the Ro ribonucleoprotein particle (Ro RNP), in association with Ro60 and La proteins. The Y RNAs and Ro60 and La proteins are well conserved, but the function of the Ro RNP is not known. In humans the RNA component can be one of four small RNAs -- hY1, hY3, hY4 and hY5. NCBI's taxonomy places the organism in Eukaryota, Metazoa, Chordata, Mammalia, Primates, Lemuridae. The record is from Ensembl.